UUGUCAUAUGCUUGUUUCAAGGACUAAGCCAUGCAAAUGUCAGAGUACUCUUGUUUUAAUAAGAGGGGUCUGUGUACGGCUCAUUAAACGGUUUAUAGUCUCCCCAACAAAGAAGGCAGUCAUGCCUUCCCAUGGGAUAUCUUUGCGAAAAGCAAAGCUAAUACCUGUAAGAAGAAUCGUUCGCUGUCAAACACCUAGGGGCAACCUGAAAGUGUGGCGAGCGAUGUGAUUGGCCGAAACAAAGAUAGACGCUCGAACAGAGCAGCUGCAAUUGUUGACGCAGGCCAAAGUCGCGAAAGCCCUUUUGGGCGACGUUGGACGAAUUUACCACCUAUCAGGUAUUGAAGGUAGUGUAGUGGACUACCUUGCCUUUGACGGGUAACGGGGGAUUGGGGUUCGAUUCCGGAGAGGGUGCCUGAGAGACGGCAACCAUGACUAUGGUCAGCAGCAGGCGCGCAAAUUGCCCAAUGCCAACAAAUGGCGAGGCAGCGACGAAAAAUAGCAUUCCCUUUUGGGAUUUGCAAUGGUCUGUACCCAAACAAACCGAAUAAAGCUAUU
RNAcentral lists this ribosomal RNA (558 nucleotides) under uncultured eukaryote. Its description in RNAcentral is "bacterial SSU rRNA". It matches the Rfam family "Eukaryotic small subunit ribosomal RNA", at positions 21 to 549 of the family's 1831-position model. The record is from RNAcentral.